Lolium perenne is the source of this 495-nucleotide long non-coding RNA. RefSeq lists it as uncharacterized. The record is from RefSeq and is a predicted model, not a curated record. NCBI's taxonomy places the organism in Eukaryota, Viridiplantae, Streptophyta, Magnoliopsida, Poales, Poaceae.
AUCUGUGUGUCCAUAAGCUAUGUUUGUAAGACCAGCCAAUGGGACUGCACCUGCUGCCAAUGAGUGUGUCGUUGUGCCCGAUGAAUUGGUAUAUAGCAGGGGUGGAGCCAACCUGAUGAUAGAGCCUAAGUAAAAAUAAAUAAAGUCUGACUUACGUUUGCCCAUGGAAAUAGAGGAUUAGUUCGUUUCCCUUCAAGAAUCAAUAGUUGCAAUACCUUGAAGAAUAAUGAAGAAAUUAUGAUGUGUACGGAUUAGUGAAAGGCAAUGGAACCUGUGAUGGCUUGCUGAGAGCAGGAGAAAAACAUUUAUAGAGCCCCUUACAGGUGGCUGUAUGAUUAUACUUUUGCUUGGAUACUAUAUGAAGAAACUUAAAAAUGUAUAUUUAAAUUUGGCGCACCAUCUUUCUUCUCUUUUCUUAUACUUAACAGUUCAGGAAAUCAUUUUUCCUUUUUAUAUGGUCAUACUUUGUCCAUGACAGCAGGUAUGAUUUGUGUC